GACGAGCCUCACAAACGUUAUUCGGAAUUACUGGGCUUAAAGGGUGCGUAGGCGGCGCGGAAAGUUGGGUGUGAAAUCCCUCGGCUCAACCGAGGAACAGCGCUCAAAACUACCGUGCUCGAGGGAGAUAGAGGAAUGCGGAACUUACGGUGGAGCGGUGAAAUGCGUUGAUAUCGUAGGGAACACCGGUGGCGAAAGCGGCAUUCUGGAUCUCUUCUGACGCUGAUGCACGAAAGCUAGGGUAGCAAACGGG
This 253-nucleotide ribosomal RNA is filed under the name uncultured bacterium. Its description in RNAcentral is "partial 16S ribosomal RNA". It matches the Rfam family "Bacterial small subunit ribosomal RNA", at positions 524 to 776 of the family's 1533-position model. The record is from RNAcentral.